UACGUAGGUGGCAAGCGUUGUCCGGAUUUAUUGGGUUUAAAGGGUGCGUAGGCGGCUUUGUAAGUCAGUGGUGAAAUAUGGCAGCUCAACUGUCAGGGUGCCAUUGAUACUGCGGAGCUUGAGUACAGAUGAGGUAGGCGGAAUUGACGGUGUAGCGGUGAAAUGCUUAGAUAUCGUCAAGAACACCGAUAGCGAAGGCAGCUUACUGGGCUGUAACUGACGCUGAGGAGCGAAAGCAUGGGGAGCGAACAGG
RNAcentral lists this ribosomal RNA (253 nucleotides) under uncultured bacterium. RNAcentral describes it as "partial 16S ribosomal RNA". It matches the Rfam family "Bacterial small subunit ribosomal RNA", at positions 524 to 776 of the family's 1533-position model. The record is from RNAcentral.